UGGUGGGGUGACUUGUCUGCUUAAUUGCGAUAACGAACGAGACCUUAACCUGCUAAAUAGCCCGCAUUGCUCCGGCUGUGCGCUGGCUUCUUAGAGGGACUUUCGGCUCAAGCCGAAGGAAGUUUGAGGCAAUAACA
RNAcentral lists this ribosomal RNA (137 nucleotides) under uncultured eukaryote. RNAcentral describes it as "partial 18S ribosomal RNA". It matches the Rfam family "Eukaryotic small subunit ribosomal RNA", at positions 1299 to 1458 of the family's 1831-position model. The record is from RNAcentral.